AUAAAGUCUCUAUUUAGAGGCACACAUGCAAUUUUUAAAAAUAAAU
Bos taurus (domestic cattle) is the source of this 46-nucleotide non-coding RNA. The record is from Rfam. NCBI's taxonomy places the organism in Eukaryota, Metazoa, Chordata, Mammalia, Artiodactyla, Bovidae.